AAUGCGUUUUGAGAUGGUCCUGCGUCCUAUCAGCUAGUUGGCAGGGUAACGGCCUACCAAGGCUAUGACGGGUAUCCGGCCUUAAAGGGUGAACGGACACACUGGAACUGAGACACGGUCCAGACUCCUAUGGGAGGCAGCAGUGGGGAAUUUUGGACAAUGGGGGAAACCCUGAUCCAGCGACGCCGCGUGGAGGAUGAAGGCCUUCGGGUUGUAAACUCCUUUUAGAGGGGAAGAAAUAAAUGACGUUACCCUCAGAAAAAGCCACGGCUAACUACGUGCCAGCAGCCGCGGUAAUACGUAGGUGGCGAGCGUUACUCGGAAUUACUAGGCGUAAAGCGUAUGUAGGCUGUCGUAUAAGUCUUUAGUAAAAUUUUCCGGCUCAACCGGGAAAAGCCUAAAGAUACUGUUCGACUUGAGUGUGGGAGAGGGAGACGGAAUUCCUGGUGUAGCGGUGAAAUGCGUAGAUAUCAGGAGGAACACCGAUGGCGAAAGCAGUCUUCUGGACCAAUACUGACGCUGAUGUACGAAAGCUAGGGUAGCAAACAGGAUUAGAUACCCUGGUAGUCCUAGCUGUAAACUAUGUUCACUAGAUGUGGGAGGUAUCGACCCCUUCCGCGUCGACGUUAACGCAUUAAGUGAACCGCCUGGGGAGUACGGCCGCAAGGUUGAAACUCAAAGGAAUUGACGGGGGCCCGCACAAGCGGUGGAGUAUGUGGUUUAAUUCGACGCAACGCGAAAAACCUUACCUGGGCUUGAACUGCUGAUGGUAAAAACCGGAAACGGCGAUGACCCGCAAGGGAGUCAGCAGAGGUGUUGCAUGGCUGUCGUCAGCUCGUGUCGUGAGAUGUUGGGUUAAGUCCCGCAACGAGCGCAACCCUUAUCCUAUGUUACCUGUAGCGAUACAGGGUCUCUGAGGAAACUGCCAUUGAUAAAAUGGAGGAAGGUGGGGACGACGUCAAGUCAUCAUGUCCUUUAUGUCCAGGGCUACACACGUACUACAAUGGCCGGUACAGAGGGCAGCAAUAUCGUAAGGUGGAGCAAAUCCCUGAAAGCCGGCCCCAGUUCAGAUUGUGGGCUGCAAUUCGCCCACAUGAAGUAGGAAUC
Molecule: ribosomal RNA, 1107 nt
Filed under: uncultured Termite group 1 bacterium
Lineage: Bacteria; Pseudomonadati; Elusimicrobiota
Description: bacterial SSU rRNA
Rfam family: Bacterial small subunit ribosomal RNA
Source: RNAcentral